Molecule: long non-coding RNA, 246 nt
Organism: Neltuma alba
Lineage: Eukaryota; Viridiplantae; Streptophyta; Magnoliopsida; Fabales; Fabaceae
Exons: 2
Source: RefSeq, a predicted model, not a curated record
AGAUUCAAGGGAAAGAGAGUAGUUUUUCUGAAACAGCUUCCUUCUGGGUUGCUCCUUGUUACUGGUCCAUUUAAGAUUAAUGGAGUUCCUUUGAGAUGUGUUAGCCGUAAUCAUAUGUGAUCCGCACCUCCACAAAGGUUGAUAUCUCUGGAGUUAGUGUCGAGAAAUUUGAUGACAAGUACUUUGCCAAGAAGACUGAGAAGAAGAAGAAGGGAGAAGGAGAGUUUUUUGAGGCGGAAAAAGAGG